Long non-coding RNA from Mustela erminea (ermine), 734 nucleotides. RefSeq lists it as uncharacterized. The transcript is spliced from 3 exons. Lineage: Eukaryota; Metazoa; Chordata; Mammalia; Carnivora; Mustelidae. The record is from RefSeq and is a predicted model, not a curated record.
ACCAAGAAACAUGGCGGCUAGCAAGUUGCCUGGUUUGAGGAAACUUGCUCACACUACCACACUUUUAUCUUCUACCUGAAAUGAAACGGAGACUGUAAACCACCUACCAUUAUCAGGAGGAAGCCCAGCUCCUCUGGUCCAGAUUCUAUGGCUGAAACAGGAGGGGAAGGUUAGAGGUCAUUUCAUUCCAACACAAGAAAUGAGGGGUGUCUCAGCCACAAACCUAGAAGGCAAGAUGGAAAAGUCUUUUUCCUUGCUACACUAUUAUGGUAUUCAUUCUGGCUAUUUACCAAAGAUUUCUGUUACUCCUCUGGGAUACUGCUAAGAUGAGUGGGGAUACUUGAUCAAGACAUGAAGCCAAACCCUUACAUCUGGUUACAUAUGUACCUCAGCCUAUCUUUGAAAUCCUACCAGAACCCUCUAAGGCAGACUAUAACAAUACAGCCAAAUUAUGUAGUCAGUACAGGUCAGCCAUUUGAAUAGAGAAGGAGUGCAUAAAAAUGAAGAAUGUGUAAAGAAAAGGAAAUGAAGUGAGCAAGAAAAAAAUUACAACAUACAUUAUUAUGCAAGUUAUAUAUUAAAGAAAAAACACACGCAGAUUACACUGAUACUUUAGGUCACUUUGUGUUCACUUAUCAGAAUUCCAUAUUAACUAAAUACUCCAUACAGAAAGUUACAUUGCAUAAAUAGAAAAAUAGUUUUUGUCUAUAUUUUUAAAUCAUAUUUUGUGAUAA